Molecule: small nuclear RNA, 104 nt
Organism: Pongo abelii (Sumatran orangutan)
Lineage: Eukaryota; Metazoa; Chordata; Mammalia; Primates; Hominidae
Source: Ensembl
GUGUUCGCUUCAGCAGCACAUAUACUAAAAUUGGAACGAUACAGAGAUCAGCAUGUUCCCUGUGCAGGGAUGACACACAAAUUCAUGAAGCGUUCCAUGUAUUU